This 301-nucleotide ribosomal RNA is filed under the name uncultured bacterium. RNAcentral's name for it is "partial 16S ribosomal RNA". It matches the Rfam family "Archaeal small subunit ribosomal RNA", at positions 459 to 759 of the family's 1478-position model. The record is from RNAcentral.
CAGCAGCCGCGGUAACACCAGCAGCCCAAGUGGUGGUCGCGAUUAUUGGGCCUAAAGCGCUCGUAGCCGGGCCGGUAAGUCCCUUGUGAAAUCGGACGGCCUAACCGUUCGGCGUGCAAGGGAUACUGUCGGUCUUGAGGCCGGGAGACGUCCGAGGUACUCCGGGGGUAGCGGUGAAAUGUUCUGAUCCUCGGGGGACCACCGGUGGCGAAGGCGUUCGACGAGAACGGGCCUGACGGUGAGGGGCGAAGGCUAGGGGAGCAAACGGGAUUAGAUACCCCCGUAGUCCCUGUCUCUUAUU